CUCACCUUCUAUACUAAUCAUUGAUAUUAUGUUGAUAGUCCUAAGUAUAAAGCUAAGCUUUAAUACAACUGUCACAUAAACUUAACAUUAACCAAGAUAACUAAACAAAGACCAAUGAACCUUGAAAAUGAGGUCAAGGUCAGAUGAACUAUGCCAGGCAGACAUGUACAGCUAACAAUGCUUCUAUACAACAUAUAUAGUUGACCUAUUACUUAUAGUUUAAGAAAAAUAGACCAAAACACAGAAACUUAACACUGUGCAAUGAACCGUGAAAAUGAGGUCACGGUCAAAUAAAACCUGCACGACUGACAUAAAGAUCAUAAAAUAUUUCCAUACACCAAAUAUAGAUGACCUAUAUGCAUAUAUAGUAUUAGAUAAAAAGACCAAAACUCAAAAACUUAACUUUGACCACUGAACCAUGAAAAUGAGGUCAAGGUCACAUGACAUCUGCCCGCUAGAUAGGUACACCUUACAAUCAUUCCAUACAACAAAUAUAGUAGACCUAUUGCAUAUAGUAUGAGGAAAACAGACCAAAACACAAAAAUUUAACUAUAACCACUGAACCAUGAAAAUGAGGUCGAGGUCAGAUGACACCUGCCAGUUGGACAUGUACACCUUACAGUCCUUCCAUACACCGAAUAUACUAGUCCUAUUGCUUGUAGUAUCUGAGAUAUGGACUUGACCACCAAAACUUAACCUUGUUCACUGAUCCAUGAAAUGAGGUCGAGGUCAAGUGAAAACUGUCUGACAGACAUGAGGACCUUUCAAGGUACGCACAUAUCAAAUAUAGUUAUCCUAUUACUUAUAAUAAGAGAGAAUUCAACAUUACAAAAAAUCUUAACUUUUUUUUCAAGUGGUCACUGAACCAUGAAAAUGAGGUCAAGGACAUUGGACAUGUGACUGACGGAAACUUCGUAACAUGAGGUAUCUAUAUACAAA
Molecule: long non-coding RNA, 939 nt
Filed under: Mytilus galloprovincialis (Mediterranean mussel)
Lineage: Eukaryota; Metazoa; Mollusca; Bivalvia; Mytilida; Mytilidae
Source: RNAcentral